Molecule: non-coding RNA, 550 nt
Organism: Nannospalax galili (Upper Galilee mountains blind mole rat)
Lineage: Eukaryota; Metazoa; Chordata; Mammalia; Rodentia; Spalacidae
Source: the annotation of a RefSeq genome assembly
GGCAUCUGACCAAAUAGAAUUUAAACAGUGACUUUUCUUAAUGGUGACUUCAUGUCCCUUUCAAGAAGCAUCAAUAUCCUCUUAAUCUCAGAGUUACUUCUGCCCACCUCUCCCCAUGUUCAGGUUUGAUGUUUGCUGGAGAUCUCCCAAGAAGCACUGUGCUCCUUCCUUGUUAACUCUGACCUUCUGUAUAUCCUGAGACUCGAAGAGCCCCAAUGUUCAGGGUGAAAGUGCAACAACAAGUAGUACAGAGUCCUGGAGCCUUGACUCUCCAGGAGGGAGAUGAUAGCAGCAUGCGGUGCAACUUCUCCACCUCUUCAUCCACUGUGCAGCGGUUUCACCAGAAUCCUGAGGGCCGCCUCAUCACCCUGUUUUCCAGUCCCUCGGGAACAAAGCAGAGUGGAAGACUAAAGUCCACGACAGACGCUAAGGAACGCCACAGCUCCCUGCACAUCUCCUCCUCCCAGACCACAGACUCCGGCACUUUUGUGUGGUGGACACACAGUGCUCCCCAGGCACCUGCAGUCUGAACACAAACUUCAGCUGUGUG